GGUCUUCUAGGCCCGACCUCCAACCCUAUGUUUAUUGAACCUCUGUUGCUUCGGCGGGCCCGUCUCACGACCGCCGGAGGAGUCGCCGCGAGGCGGCCCUCUGGCCAGCGCCCGCCGACGGCCAAAUUCAAACUCUGAAUAAAUCGUGUCAUGAUGUCUAAGUCUAUGAUUAAAUUAACGCAAAACUUUCAACAACGGAUCUCUUGGUUCUGGCAUCGAUGAAGAACGCAGCGAAAUGCGAUAAGUAAUGCGAAUUGCAGAAUUCCAGUGAGUCAUCGAAUCUUUGAACGCACAUUGCGCCCUUUGGUAUUCCGAAGGGCAUGCCUGUUCGAGCGUCAUUAUCACCCCUCAAGCCCCGUGCUUGGUGUUGGACGGCCGGUCGAGCGAUUCGACCCCUCCGAAAGACAAUGACGGCGGCCUGUGGUUCCCCCGGUACACUGAGCUUUUCACGGAGCACGUAUCGGACGAGGGCGCCCAGGACCCCGGUCCUUUCUCCUCUCAGCAGGAAACUUCUCAAGGUUGACCUCGGAUCAGGUAGGAAUACGCGCUGAACUUAAGCAUAUCAAUAAGCGCAGGAAAAGAAACCAACAGGGAUUACCUCAGUAACGGCGAGUGAAGCGGUAACAGCUCAAAUUUGAAAUCUGGCCUCUCGGGGUCCGAGUUGUAAUUUGUAGAGGAUGUUUUGGGUACCGCCCCGGUCUAAAUUUCUUGGAACAGGAUGUCAAAGAGGGUGAGAAUCCCGUCUUGGACCGGCGGUAGGGCCUGUGUAAAACUCCUUCGACGAGUCGAGUUGUUUGGGAAUGCAGCUCAAAAUGGGUGGUAAAUUUCAUCUAAAGCUAAAUAUUGGCCAGAGACCGAUAGCGCACAAGUAGAGUGAUCGAAAGAUGAAAAGCACUUUGAAAAGAGAGUUAAACAGUAUGUGAAAUUGUUGAAAGGGAAGCGCUUGCAACCAGACUUGAGCGCGGCGGUUCCCCCGGUCUUUUGGCCGGGCUACUCCGUCGUGUCCAGGCCAACAUCGGUUCUGAGGGUCGGUCAAAGGCUCUGGGAAUGUAUCUACCCACGGGUAGACGUAUAGACCAGGGUGUCAUGCGGCCUCUCGGGACCGAGGAACGC
This 1113-nucleotide ribosomal RNA is filed under the name Herpotrichiellaceae sp. Its description in RNAcentral is "eukaryotic LSU rRNA". The stretch from base 521 to 1113 matches the Rfam family "Eukaryotic large subunit ribosomal RNA", at positions 1 to 598 of the family's 3401-position model. Lineage: Eukaryota; Fungi; Ascomycota; Eurotiomycetes; Chaetothyriales; Herpotrichiellaceae. The record is from RNAcentral.